This is a long non-coding RNA of Lactuca sativa (garden lettuce), 702 nucleotides long. RefSeq lists it as uncharacterized. Lineage: Eukaryota; Viridiplantae; Streptophyta; Magnoliopsida; Asterales; Asteraceae. The record is from RefSeq and is a predicted model, not a curated record.
GUAUGGUGUGGUAAAUUAAGUUUUGGAGUUGAUUUCUUAGAUGGUUGUGAUUUUUCACUGCUAAGUAAGUGCGAUCUCACUAAACCAUUAUUGUUUUAUAAUUGUUACAAUUAUGGGUGAAUGAUUAACAUAAAUUGUUAUUUAGUAACUUAACUUUUAUUUUUAUGUAAUUUUCACUAAAUAAUGAUAGAUUUAGGCAUUAAAUUGUUAUAAUAAUGGUUCAUUGAUGUGUGUUACAUUGCACUUUAAAAUGAAUGAAAGAAAAUUGAUAUUUCAUACAUUUAACCAUAUUUAAAUCAAUGAAAAUAUGAUAUUGUUUCUUGUGGUUAAUUUUUUUAUAUAUUUACAAGGUGUGUGCGCGUGACAUAUUCAAAUACUAUUUUAACCAGGGCCACCAUUAGAUAAUCGAUUUUGGAUGUUGACGUGUCUGGACAGUGGAACUUGGAUGGUUGUUUCAUCGUCUGUGUAUAUGUGUGGUUAUUUAAAAACAAUCAUGGAGCCUUUGAAUUUGAGAAUUUCAAGAAAUUAUGUUGGAUUAUAAUGAGGAAAGUGAUGAAUUUUUUAUUUCAUUGUAAUUAAAAAGAAAAUAUUUUUUUGUUGGAUUGAAUAGGAUCGAUCAUUCUUGAAAGAACGUGAUUUUGUAGAGUUACGAUGUUAAUGGUGUGUUUAUAUUGUGAAAAUUGGAAUGGAAAUAAUUUCUAA